CGCGGAGUGGAGCAGUUGGCCGCUCGUCGGGCUCAUAACCCGAAGGUCGUAGGUUCAAGUCCUGCCUCCGCAACCA
This 76-nucleotide transfer RNA is filed under the name Clostridioides difficile. RNAcentral's name for it is "tRNA-Met". It matches the Rfam family "tRNA". Rfam says of the family: Transfer RNA (tRNA) molecules are approximately 80 nucleotides in length. Their secondary structure includes four short double-helical elements and three loops (D, anti-codon, and T loops). Further hydrogen bonds mediate the characteristic L-shaped molecular structure. tRNAs have two regions of fundamental functional importance: the anti-codon, which is responsible for specific mRNA codon recognition, and the 3' end, to which the tRNAs corresponding amino acid is attached (by aminoacyl-tRNA synthetases). tRNAs cope with the degeneracy of the genetic code in two manners: having more than one tRNA (with a specific anti-codon) for a particular amino acid; and 'wobble' base-pairing, i.e. permitting non-standard base-pairing at the 3rd anti-codon position. Lineage: Bacteria; Bacillati; Bacillota; Clostridia; Peptostreptococcales; Peptostreptococcaceae. The record is from RNAcentral.